This 525-nucleotide ribosomal RNA is filed under the name Escherichia coli. RNAcentral describes it as "partial 23S ribosomal RNA". It matches the Rfam family "Bacterial large subunit ribosomal RNA", at positions 1237 to 1763 of the family's 2925-position model. Lineage: Bacteria; Pseudomonadati; Pseudomonadota; Gammaproteobacteria; Enterobacterales; Enterobacteriaceae. The record is from RNAcentral.
CGUUCUGUAAGCCUGCGAAGGUGUGCUGUGAGGCAUGCUGGAGGUAUCAGAAGUGCGAAUGCUGACAUAAGUAACGAUAAAGCGGGUGAAAAGCCCGCUCGCCGGAAGACCAAGGGUUCCUGUCCAACGUUAAUCGGGGCAGGGUGAGUCGACCCCUAAGGCGAGGCCGAAAGGCGUAGUCGAUGGGAAACAGGUUAAUAUUCCUGUACUUGGUGUUACUGCGAAGGGGGGACGGAGAAGGCUAUGUUGGCCGGGCGACGGUUGUCCCGGUUUAAGCGUGUAGGCUGGUUUUCCAGGCAAAUCCGGAAAAUCAAGGCUGAGGCGUGAUGACGAGGCACUACGGUGCUGAAGCAACAAAUGCCCUGCUUCCAGGAAAAGCCUCUAAGCAUCAGGUAACAUCAAAUCGUACCCCAAACCGACACAGGUGGUCAGGUAGAGAAUACCAAGGCGCUUGAGAGAACUCGGGUGAAGGAACUAGGCAAAAUGGUGCCGUAACUUCGGGAGAAGGCACGCUGAUAUGUAGGU